AAAGCCAUGUUGGGGAAGGGGAGCACGUGCAAAGACAGUGUUGCUCUCAACUUCAACCUUGCACGUGCCCUGCUUCUCCAUCAAGGCCUC
This 90-nucleotide microRNA precursor is filed under the name Daucus carota subsp. sativus. RNAcentral's name for it is "sRNA DCAR_mi00021". The record is from RNAcentral. Lineage: Eukaryota; Viridiplantae; Streptophyta; Magnoliopsida; Apiales; Apiaceae.